RNAcentral lists this ribosomal RNA (253 nucleotides) under uncultured bacterium. RNAcentral's name for it is "partial 16S ribosomal RNA". It matches the Rfam family "Bacterial small subunit ribosomal RNA", at positions 524 to 776 of the family's 1533-position model. The record is from RNAcentral.
UACGUAGGAUGCAAGCGUUGUCCGGAUUUAUUGGGUUAAAAGGGUGCGUAGGCGGCUUAUUAAGUAAGUGGUGAAAACGUUCGGCUUAACUGGAUACCCGCCAUUGAUACUGAUAGACUUGAGUGCGACAGAGGGUGUUGGAAUGUGUGGUGUAGCGGUGAAAUGCUUAGAUAUCACGCAGAACACCAAUUGCGAAGGCAGAUGCCUAUGUCGUAACUGACGCUGAGGCACGAAAGCGUGGGGAGCAAACAGG